This 402-nucleotide ribosomal RNA is filed under the name uncultured prokaryote. RNAcentral describes it as "bacterial SSU rRNA". It matches the Rfam family "Bacterial small subunit ribosomal RNA", at positions 355 to 774 of the family's 1533-position model. The record is from RNAcentral.
UGGGGAAUAUUGGACAAUGGGCGCAAGCCUGAUCCAGCCAUGCCGCGUGAGUGAUGAAGGCCUUAGGGUUGUAAAGCUCUUUCACCGGAGAAGAUAAUGACGGUAUCCGGAGAAGAAGCCCCGGCUAACUUCGUGCCAGCAGCCGCGGUAAUACGAAUGGGGCUAGCGUUGUUCGGAAUUACUGGGCGUAAAGCGCACGUAGGCGGGCAUUUAAGUCAGGGGUGAAAUCCCAGAGCUCAACUCUGGAACUGCCUUUGAUACUGGGUGUCUUGAGUAUGGAAGAGGUUAGUGGAAUUCCGAGUGUAGAGGUGAAAUUCGUAGAUAGUCGGAGGAACACCAGUGGCGAAGGCGGAUCACUGGUCCAUUACUGACGCUGAGGUGCGAAAGCGUGGGGAGCAAACA